Molecule: ribosomal RNA, 340 nt
Filed under: uncultured bacterium
Lineage: Bacteria
Description: bacterial SSU rRNA
Rfam family: Bacterial small subunit ribosomal RNA
Source: RNAcentral
AAAACAAUCCUACGGGAGGCAGCAGUGGGGAAUAUUGGACAAUGGGGGAAACCCUGAUCCAGCGAUGCCGCGUGAAUGAUGAAGGCCUUAGGGUUGUAAAGUUCUUUCACCUGUGACGAUGAUGACGGUAACAGGAGAAGAAGCCCCGGCUAACUCCGUGCCAGCAGCCGCGGUAAGACGGAGGGGGCUAGCGUUGUUCGGAAUGACUGGGCGUAAAGGGCGCGUAGGCGGCUUAUCAAGUCAGGUGUGAAAGCCUUGGGCUUAACCCAAGAAUUGCGCUUGAUACUGAUAAGCUAGAGGAUGAUAGAGGAAAGCGGAAUUCCUAGUGUAGAGGUGAAAU